AGGACGGAUUUGUAGGUUGUUGGCUUCGACGAGUUGGCUUGCUGGAGCUAACGCGUUAAAUCCACCGCCUGGGGAGUACGGCCGCAAGGUUAAAACUCAAAUGAAUUGACGGGGGCCCGCACAAGCGGUGGAGCAUGUGGUUUAAUUCGAUGCAACGCGAAGAACCUUACCUACUCUUGACAUCCAGAGAAUUUAGCAGAGAUGCUUUAGUGCCUUCGGGAACUCUGAGACAGGUGCUGCAUGGCUGUCGUCAGCUCGUGUUGUGAAAUGUUGGGUUAAGUCCCGCAACGAGCGCAACCCUUAUCCUUUGUUGCCAGCACAUUAUGGUGGGAACUCAAAGGAGACUGCCGGUGAUAAACCGGAGGAAGGUGGGGAUGACGUCAAGUCAUCAUGGCCCUUAACAGUAGGGCUACACACGUGCUACAAUGGCGUAUACAAAGAGAAGCGACCUCGCGAGAGCAAGCGGAACUCAUAAAGUACGUCGUAUUCCGGAUUGGAGUCUGCAACUCGACUCCAUGAAGUCGGAAUCGCUAGUAAUCGUAAAUCAGAAUGCUACGGUGAAUACGUUCCCGGGCCUUGUACACACCGCCCGUCACACCAUGGGAGUGGGUUGCAAAAGAAGUAGGUAGCUUAACCUUCGGGAGGGCGCUUACCACUUUGUGAUUCAUGACUGGGGUGAAGUC
RNAcentral lists this ribosomal RNA (683 nucleotides) under Providencia sp. RNAcentral describes it as "bacterial SSU rRNA". It matches the Rfam family "Bacterial small subunit ribosomal RNA", at positions 801 to 1487 of the family's 1533-position model. The record is from RNAcentral. Lineage: Bacteria; Pseudomonadati; Pseudomonadota; Gammaproteobacteria; Enterobacterales; Morganellaceae.